Molecule: non-coding RNA, 85 nt
Organism: Felis catus (domestic cat)
Lineage: Eukaryota; Metazoa; Chordata; Mammalia; Carnivora; Felidae
Source: Rfam
GCCUGGGUGGCUCAGUCAGUUAAGUGUCUGACUUCUGCUCAGGUCAUGAUCUUGGGGUUUGUGGGUUCGAGCCCCGCAUUGGGCU